RNAcentral lists this long non-coding RNA (872 nucleotides) under Triticum aestivum (bread wheat). Its description in RNAcentral is "long non-coding RNA (TAES_LNC010756)". Lineage: Eukaryota; Viridiplantae; Streptophyta; Magnoliopsida; Poales; Poaceae. The record is from RNAcentral.
UGGUGGCUACAUUGCUGGUGUCUUCUGUGCUAUUGUUUCUCACCCGGCUGACAACCUGGUCUCUUUCCUCAACAAUGCCAAGGGUGCUACAGUGGGUGAUGUAAGCAUGUUUCUAUCUAGUUUAUCUUUGAGAUUUUCUAUCCUCUUCUUAACUACUGGACUAUUUGCUGACUUCAUGUUAUUAUUAAACCUUCGUAGGCUGUUAAGAAGAUUGGCAUGUUGGGCCUUUUCACCAGAGGACUUCCCCUUCGCAUCGUCAUGAUCGGUACUCUUACCGGUGCUCAGUGGGGAAUCUAUGACGCCUUCAAGGUCAUGGUGGGACUGUAAGUAUCUCAUCCUCUAUGCAAAUUCAUCUGGUAAACAACUUCUGAGGAAGUAGUAACAAUUGGUAAUCCAUUUUCUUCCAGCCCGACCACCGGCGGUGCUCCACCAGUUGCUCCGGUAGAGGAAGCAGCGAAAGCCAUCGCUUGAUUGAUUUUUCCUACUAUGACGAUGACGAUGUAUUCCGGGAUGAUGGGGUAUUGGUGGAUGGGGACUGUAUCAAUUACUUGAGUUUAGCACCCGAAAUCUUUUGUUAUUGUAGCAGAUGGUUAUUGUGUCAUCAUUUUGAUGAGAGGAACUCAUUAAGCAGGCGAAAUAGGCCUUUUUUUGUCCCCGGGAAGUUUGAUGCUUGACAUAAUAAGUUUUAGGACAGCAAGGCUGUUAGAGCGCAGGUUUUGCCAUCACCUGUACUGAGGAAUUCCCAUAUUAUACUCCUGUUUACCUCCAAUUCUAUGCUGUUGAUAUCGUGGCAUGUUCGUUUCUGAACGGGUAGAACGUUUAUUGUUUUACUAGUAGUAGUAGUUAUCUUCUCUUCGUGCUUGCAAAAUCAU